CAGUAGCCACGGGAAUACAGAGGGUGCGAGCGUUAAUCGGAUUUACUGGGCGUAAAGCGUGCGUAGGCGGCUUCUUAAGUCGGAUGUGAAAUCCCUGAGCUUAACUUAGGAAUUGCAUUCGAUACUGGGAAGCUAGAGUAUGGGAGAGGAUGGUAGAAUUCCAGGUGUAGCGGUGAAAUGCGUAGAGAUCUGGAGGAAUACCGGUGGCGAAGGCGGCCCCCUGGACAAAGACUGACGCUCAGGUGCGAAAGCGUGGGGAGCAAACAGGAUUAGAUACCCCAGUAGUCCCUGUCUCUUAUAA
This 301-nucleotide ribosomal RNA is filed under the name uncultured bacterium. Its description in RNAcentral is "partial 16S ribosomal RNA". It matches the Rfam family "Bacterial small subunit ribosomal RNA", at positions 509 to 809 of the family's 1533-position model. The record is from RNAcentral.